RNAcentral lists this transfer RNA (67 nucleotides) under human gut metagenome. It matches the Rfam family "tRNA". Rfam says of the family: Transfer RNA (tRNA) molecules are approximately 80 nucleotides in length. Their secondary structure includes four short double-helical elements and three loops (D, anti-codon, and T loops). RNAcentral also lists the same sequence under 3 other names. The record is from RNAcentral.
CGGGUAGCUCAGCUGGAUAGAGCAACAGCCUUCUAAGCUGUGGGUCGAGGGUUCGAAUCCCUCCUCG